GUAACGAGCGCAACCCUUGUCCUUAGUUACCAGCACGUUAUGGUGGGCGACUCUAAGGAGACUGCCGGGUGGACAAACCGGAGGAAAGGUGGGGGAUGACGUCAAGUCAUCAUGGCCCUUACGGCCUGGGCUACACACGUGCUACAAUGGUCGGUACAAAGGGUUGCCAAGCCGCGAGGUGGAGCUAAUCCCAUAAAACCGAUCGUAGUCCGGAUCGCAGUCUGCAACUCGACUGCGUGAGGUCGGAAUCGCUAGUAAUCGUGAAUCAGAAUGUCACGGUGAAUACGUUCCCGGGCCUU
Molecule: ribosomal RNA, 299 nt
Filed under: uncultured Pseudomonas sp.
Lineage: Bacteria; Pseudomonadati; Pseudomonadota; Gammaproteobacteria; Pseudomonadales; Pseudomonadaceae
Description: partial 16S ribosomal RNA
Rfam family: Bacterial small subunit ribosomal RNA
Source: RNAcentral